Molecule: ribosomal RNA, 541 nt
Filed under: uncultured bacterium
Lineage: Bacteria
Description: bacterial SSU rRNA
Rfam family: Bacterial small subunit ribosomal RNA
Source: RNAcentral
AAUAGAUACCCUGGUAGUCCACGCCGUAAACGAUGGAUGCUAGCUAUUGGGGGGGAAUCGACCCCCUCCGAAGCGAAGCUAACGCGUUAAGCAUCCCGCCUGAGUAGUACGAGCGCAAGCUUAAAACUCAAAGGAAUUGACGGGGACCCGCACAAGCGGUGGAGCGUGUGGUUUAAUUCGAUGGUAAACGAAGAACCUUACCAAGGCUUGACAUACACCAGAACACCCUAGAAAUAGGGGACUCUUUGGACACUGGUGAACAGGUGGUGCAUGGUUGUCGUCAGCUCGUGUCGUGAGAUGUUGGGUUAAGUCCCGCAACGAGCGCAACCCUCGUUCUAUGUUGCCAGCACGUAAUGGUGGGAACUCAUGGGAUACUGCCGGGGUCAACUCGGAGGAAGGUGGGGAUGACGUCAAAUCAUCAUGCCCCUUAUGUCUUGGGCUUCACGCAUGCUACAAUGGCCGGUACAAAGGGCUGCAAUACCGUGAGGUGGAGCGAAUCCCAAAAAGCCGGUCCCAGUUCGGAUUGAGGUCUGCAACUCGA